This 253-nucleotide ribosomal RNA is filed under the name uncultured bacterium. Its description in RNAcentral is "partial 16S ribosomal RNA". It matches the Rfam family "Bacterial small subunit ribosomal RNA", at positions 524 to 776 of the family's 1533-position model. RNAcentral also lists the same sequence under 1 other name. The record is from RNAcentral.
UACGGAGGGAGCUAGCGUUGUUCGGAAUUACUGGGCGUAAAGCGCACGUAGGCGGCUACUCAAGUCAGAGGUGAAAGCCCAGGGCUCAACCUUGGAACUGCCUUUGAAACUAGGUAGCUAGAAUUCUGGAGAGGUCAGUGGAAUUCCGAGUGUAGAGGUGAAAUUCGUAGAUAUUCGGAAGAACACCAGUGGCGAAGGCGACUGACUGGACAGAUAUUGACGCUGAGGUGCGAAAGCGUGGGGAGCAAACAGG